ACCAGACUCCUACGGGAGGCAGCAGUGAGGAAUAUUGGUCAAUGGCCGAGAGGCUGAACCAGCCAAGUCGCGUGAGGGAAGACGGCCCUACGGGUUGUAAACCUCUUUUGUCGGGGAGCAAAAGCCGGACGUGUCCGGCUGUAAGAGUACCCGAAGAAAAAGCAUCGGCUAACUCCGUGCCAGCAGCCGCGGUAAUACGGAGGAUGCGAGCGUUAUCCGGAUUUAUUGGGUUUAAAGGGUGCGUAGGCGGACGCUUAAGUCAGCGGUAAAAUUGCGGGCUCAACCUCGUCGAGCCGUUGAAACUGGGUGCCUUGAGUGGGCGAGAAGUACGCGGAAUGCGUGGUGUAGCGGUGAAAUGCAUAGAUAUCACGCAGAACUCCGAUUGCGAAGGCAGCGUACCGGCGCCCAACUGACGCUGAAGCACGAAGGCGUGGGUAUCGAACAGGAUUAGAUACCCCCGUAAGG
RNAcentral lists this ribosomal RNA (465 nucleotides) under uncultured bacterium. RNAcentral's name for it is "bacterial SSU rRNA". It matches the Rfam family "Bacterial small subunit ribosomal RNA", at positions 330 to 794 of the family's 1533-position model. The record is from RNAcentral.